This 253-nucleotide ribosomal RNA is filed under the name uncultured bacterium. RNAcentral's name for it is "partial 16S ribosomal RNA". It matches the Rfam family "Bacterial small subunit ribosomal RNA", at positions 524 to 776 of the family's 1533-position model. The record is from RNAcentral.
UACGUAGGGUGCGAGCGUUAAUCGGAAUUACUGGGCGUAAAGCGUGCGCAGGCGGUUCGCCGUGUCCUGUGUGAAAGCCCCGGGCUUAACCUGGGAAUUGCAUGGGAAACUGGCGGGCUCGAGUGUGGCAGAGGGGGGUGGAAUUCCGCGUGUAGCAGUGAAAUGCGUAGAGAUGCGGAGGAACACCGAUGGCGAAGGCAGCCCCCUGGGCCAACACUGACGCUCAGGCACGAAAGCGUGGGGAGCAAACAGG